RNAcentral lists this ribosomal RNA (374 nucleotides) under uncultured bacterium. Its description in RNAcentral is "bacterial SSU rRNA". It matches the Rfam family "Bacterial small subunit ribosomal RNA", at positions 527 to 898 of the family's 1533-position model. The record is from RNAcentral.
GGGGGGAGCAAGCGUUGUUCGGAUUUACUGGGCGUAAAGGGCGCGUAGGCGGCGCAACAAGUCACUUGUGAAAUCUCCGGGCUUAACCCGGAGCGGCCAAGUGAUACUGUCGUGCUAGAGUGCGGAAGGGGCUACUGGAAUUCUCGGUGUAGCGGUGAAAUGCGUAGAUAUCGAGAGGAACACCUGCGGCGAAGGCGGGUAGCUGGGCCGACACUGACGCUGAGGCGCGAAAGCCAGGGGAGCGAACGGGAUUAGAUACCCCGGUAGUCCUGGCCUUAAACGAUGGAUGCUUGGUGUCCGGGGUUACAUAGUCCCCGGGUGCCGGCGCUAACGCAUUAAGCAUCCCGCCUGGGGAGUACGGUCGCAAGACUGAA